Molecule: long non-coding RNA, 1100 nt
Organism: Ricinus communis (castor bean)
Lineage: Eukaryota; Viridiplantae; Streptophyta; Magnoliopsida; Malpighiales; Euphorbiaceae
Exons: 4
Source: RefSeq, a predicted model, not a curated record
GUCAAUUCGGCUCGAUCCACCCGAGGCAUCGGAGCAAAGCUAGGAAGUCGUCAGAACAAUAGUUUUUUGCAGACCAGCUAUCGACCAAAGACGCGGACGUGGAUUAGCAAGGGAUGGCAGACAGACGUCCUCGUAAGGACCGUCGCGGACAGCUUACUCCCCCAUCCUUACUCCCUAUCAUGGAGACAUCCCAAACACAUUGUUCUAUACCUACCUCUACAUUCUAAUCGAGGCCACUGUUGCCUUUACCACCCUCCACUACACCCAUAGAUUCUUCACUUUCUACUACUAUUUCAGCACUCGCCACUAGUUCACCACCCACUACUGGUCCAUCUCCUGCUACACUCGUGCCACCACCUAAGGAGACCUCACUUAUCAGAUCAUCAUCGAGGAGUUCAAAGCCCCAUAUAUGGAUUGAGAAUGAUAGGUCGAUACACUCUCAUCUCUACUUGGCAAGGGCUAGGAAGAUCUUCAAGAAUGCCACAGAGCGUGAGGAGUAUGUGUGGUGAUUUGUGCUUAAGGAGACAAAGGACUCGUACUUCACGUACGGCACAGGCAGCUGCUGCAUCUCAACCCGAUAAGGGUUCUGCUGAUCCUCCAUCGGUUGACAUGUCACAGCUGUUUGUCGACGUCAUCGGUGGGAAGAAGAAGCAGCUCAUAUAUAGGCUGGGCUCAGAGGCGCCCACCUUCACCCAGCCCUACAACACUGCCUUCGAUUGCUCGCAGGAGGCGCUCAAACGCGAGAUAUGAGCAGAGCUAGAUCAGGAGUACGGUGCCCGCAUAGCAUAUCUCAAGCGGAUGAUGCAGCACAUGGUUCGCCUAUUUGGUGUUGGCUUCGUUCCACCACCUGCGCCUACUUUAGUCGGUGCAUCUGCGACUGAUACCCCAAAUCCUCCGGCUAAGGACCAUGGCGACUCCUCCUUGUCAACCGCCUCCGGUUAGAGAUUUUUUUGUUUAUACUUUACUUUAUUAUUUUUUGUGUAUAAUUAUUUUUAUUUUCUAAUUUCACUUUCUUAUUUCUAAUUCAGUUUUUGAAAUAUGCUAAUUAAUUUUAAAAUUAAAAAUGCUAAUUAAUUUUUUUGAAUCAAUUCAUGCGUUUU